Molecule: ribosomal RNA, 383 nt
Filed under: uncultured marine Chaetocerotaceae
Lineage: Eukaryota; Bacillariophyta; Thalassiosirophyceae; Chaetocerotales; Chaetocerotaceae
Description: SSU rRNA
Rfam family: Eukaryotic small subunit ribosomal RNA
Source: RNAcentral
AGCUCCAAUAGCGUAUAUUAAAGUUGUUGCAGUUAAAAAGCUCGUAGUUGCAUUUCUGUUGGGAGGGAUCGUUCCAUGCCUCUGGCUUGGAUUCGUAUCGUCUCCUGACAUCCUUGGGUGGAGCCAUUCUGGCAUUAAGUUGUCGGGGUGGGGAUGCCCAUCGUUUACUGUGAAAAAAUUAGAGUGUUCAAAGCAGGCUUAUGCCGUUGAAUAUAUUAGCAUGGGAUAAUAAGAUAGGACUUUGGUACUAUUUUGUUGGUUUGCGCACCAGAGUAAUGACGAAUAGGGACAGUUGGGGGUAUUCGUAUUCAGUUGUCAGAGGUGAAAUUCUUAGAUUUAUUGAAGACGAACUACUGCGAAAGCAUUUACCAAGGAUGUUUUCA